CAAGUAGUAUCCCCAAACAUGAUGUGCCACCAUCUAAACUUGCCUCUUGGACUCUCUAAGAGAUUAUCUGGAUCCUGACUGCCUCUCGCUGAAGCCAAAACUGUAACUCCACUUGGCUGGCCGUGCUGCUUCCUGGCCAUGCCAAGCCUCCCUACCUUCUGCUGGAGAGGCUUUUCUCUAAGUCUCUGAGGUCAGAUUCUCCUAGUUGCCCCUAUUCCUCAAGGCUCACCUGCACAGGUGGCAUAAUCAGAGACUUGGACAGAGCCAACAGGCAGCAGUUUCGGCAAAGCAGCUUGAGCCUUCUGAGCUCCCGUGUGGAGUUUCCCUUCAGAGUCUGGCUUGGAGCCCUGGAAGGAAGCCCUGGUUCACCUUAAGGCAGCUACAGCAGUAGCAGCAACAGUGGAGACUGGAGCUAGGACCUGACCAGCAGCCAGUCUUCUCCAUCCACUCCGUCACCCCUGCUGCCCUCUGAAGCUUUCUUUUUGGGGAGGCUACCCUGAGAAAAAGGAAGGAGGUAGGCAGAGCCAGAGCAGAGCGAUGGCAAGGAGGACUUCAACGACACGGAGCUUGAUGCUGGAAGCCCCGGGUUGAUGCCAGAAGGUACCGGAAAGUGUAUGGCAUGGGACUCGUGGUGCUCAGCUUGUGGCUGGAAGAAAGCCUGCUAGCAGUUCCUGGACUGAGCCAAUCUGUGAUGCUACUGCCUGGCCUCUUUCUCACUCCUAGCCUGAACCUGCAGCAAACCUGUGGUG
RNAcentral lists this long non-coding RNA (749 nucleotides) under Rattus norvegicus (Norway rat). RNAcentral describes it as "long non-coding RNA NONRATT018988". Lineage: Eukaryota; Metazoa; Chordata; Mammalia; Rodentia; Muridae. The record is from RNAcentral.